This is a long non-coding RNA of Gallus gallus (chicken), 3049 nucleotides long. RefSeq lists it as uncharacterized. The transcript is spliced from 2 exons. The record is from RefSeq and is a predicted model, not a curated record. NCBI's taxonomy places the organism in Eukaryota, Metazoa, Chordata, Aves, Galliformes, Phasianidae.
AUUGCUGCAGGAAGAGAACAACAGAAAAUAGGCCAUACAUUAAAACCCGUACUUCAUCCCAGCAAGUAAAAGUUGAAUCUGAAGGAUUAUUUCAUCACAGAAUCACAGAAUGGCCUGGGUUGAAAAGGACCACAGUGCUUAUCCAGUUCCAACCCCCUGCUAUGUGCAGUGCAGGGUGACCAACCAGCAGACCAGGCUGCCCAGAGCCACAUCCAGCCUGGCCUUGAAUGCCUCCAGGGAUGGGGCAUCCACAGCCUCCUUUGGCAACCUGUUCCAGUGAACAGUAAGAUAGGCAAACCUAUCAAUAUCUAUGUAGAACUUGAAUGUUUUUUCUCCAUUCUUCCAGUACAGAUUAUCCUAAACCCUUUGGCACUGAAUCACUUAAAAUUGAUGGUGACUUCCUGCAGCAUGACAGGGAUGCUGUUGCACAGAGGCCUUGCCAAGGCUGCAGUCACACAGCUGGAUUCUGCAGCUGGUGCUACAGAAGCUGUUGGAGCAGAAGAGACAAAAACUGCCACAGAUGCACUCUGUGCAUUGAAAGAGUCAAGCCUGAGAAUCAUCUGGCAUGUGCAGUGUUGUUAAGGCAGAAGUGCUUGGCAGAGCUGCUGGAUGGAGCUUUGUUCAUAUGAAAAUGUCUACAGGCUCUCAAACAUCUAUACAGUACACAGAGACCCCAGCAAACAGCCCCAAGUGUGCUUCUCACUUCUUAUGAGCAGCUGGCUCCUCUUAAAGAGAAACUCCGGUUUAGAAUUAAGGCUGUUACUUAAAUAUAGCUAAAUGAUAGUUAAAACUGCAACUCAUAUAUAAGUAAGGAACAACACCAAGCCCAAAACAAAAGUCACAACAGAGGAUCCAUAACGCUGUACAGAACACCACAUUGGUAGGUAGAAUGCCAUCUUGUGAGCAACCACUGCAAUUUUCCCUGCACAAAUCAGCAUGGAACUAUAAAGGAGAUACCAGAUGUGGGAAAGGCAAUAAGGCAGAGAUCUCAAGAAUUGCACGAGCCUUUGUCACACUGUAAAGUUAUCAGCAGCCUCUUAUUUCCACGAGAAGAUGUGAGACACAUCCAAGCAAAAAAAAGACACCAGAAAGAGGAAGUGGUGCAGUGCUAUUUUGUGCACAAAAGAACACAAAGCACAUUGCCGUGCUGUCAAGCUGACAAAAUGAACUGACUGGAUAGAAAAGACAGGCUGUACAUUCCCAUCUGCCAUCAGAACAUGAACGCUGACAGAAAACAGUAAGAAACAGGGAGAAGAAAUGAAACGUGAAUGAAAUCUGCAGAACCAGAACAACAAAAACUCACCUCUGUGAGAGCUUUAUCCAGACUGGCAGCCAGCUUACCAAUGUCAUACAGAAGCUGAGUAGGUGCAGCAAUUUUAGCCACAGGUGUGCCCGGCAGGUAAGUCAGCAGUCUGACCACGUACUUUUGGUUUCCAGGUCUGCUACCUGACAAGCAGAGAUACUGUCAGCCACUUCAGCAUACUCUACUGAGUGUUAGUUAAUGCAAGAGGCGGAUGGUUUCUUCACUCUCAGAUGGGGCUGAUAAAACUGAUCUCACUCAAAGAUUUGAUUGACCAGAACGUGAUACGGUGAUGUGCAAACCUUGCCACACCUGCAGGCUGUGCUGGAUGCGUGUGCCUGGAAUUAACCCUGCACACAGCAGCUUCGCUCAGUGCCUCCAGCCCCUCACCUGCAGAGCUAUGCAGGUGCCCUCAGGAAUCCCAGCUUGUAUGUGGAAGUUACAGUGAAAAUGAAAGCAAAGCGUUAACAGAUUUUCUUCCACGCACUGUUUAAGUGAUUUAUUGUGGCAUCAGAUCAUAGAUGGGCUGGAACUGUAUUACACCAAUCUGUGCACAAACAGGCAAGUCAUUUAUAUCAUGAUUUGGUCACUGUGGCUUUUUUUUUUAGUGCACAGAUGUGUCUGUUUUUUCAAGCGAUAUGGGAGCUGUUUGCAGAGUUAAGCAUUCCUCUCCUUCAUUUGCUCAGCUGCUGGCACGUGAAGUUUGGACUUUUACAGGCACAGUCACCUGACACGGAUCCAUCCAUCCCCUACCAGCUACACUGCAACCUGAGGUUCUACUUUUGGCUACACUGCAACCUGAGGUUCUACUUUUGAUAGCCAAAUUUAACCUCAAUUUUGGAUACUCCUUCUGUGCAAUUUUGUCACCACUACAACUGGUGCUGCAUCUAAAUUACCAACCUAAAACACCUUUGAAUCAGUAGACCCAGGAAACCUAUCAGGGCAAUUGAACUGAAAAAACAGCUGCAGGAUAACCCGCCCUUCCCUAUACUUGCAGUUCUCACUAAAACAACCAUCUUCCCACUAGCAAAACCAGCAGCGAGCCAUCCUGCACCAUACCUCAAAGCCCACACCCACAGGUGCUUGCUGCAGUGCACGCAUCUCACCAGCACUGCUGCUCUUAGGCUGCUGAAGGUCCAGCAUCUCUGUGGGCUUUUCUGCACUACGCCGUGCAUUUGAUGGAGCUCAGCUCUGGCAUUCUCAGCACAGCAUCUGUGCACCCUGAAGUUACUCCUUCUAGCUCAACAGCUGAAAGGGAGGUGUGCAAUGGAUUGGGAGCUAUAGAAGUGCCAGAGCUGCAGUGCAGUGCUGCAGCUCCUCACCUCCCUCCUGCACAGACAUGAUGCCGCCGUCCUUUGUGAGCCGCGGUGUAGCUGAGGGGAAGCCGUGGGCGCUGAGGAACACCAUGGCCCGGGUCUGCGCCUCGAUGAGGGCGGGCUGCUGGCUGUCUUCUGAGUUGGUGAUUUUGAGGACGUACUCCUCGGCCCCUUCAGCCUCGCCUCCGUCUGAGACCUUCACGUGGAAGUUCUGAUCGUCGUAGCUGGGCAGGGGCCUGACCCACACCGCCUUUAACCCGAACACCUUGUCCACCAGCUCGGCCGCCUCCUCCUCGCCGAACGCCGGCUUGGUGGCUGCCUGCGGCUGGCGGCGGUCUCCAGAAGCCAUCGCGUCUGUGAGAGAAAGACAGAGACUAGAAGAGGUGAGCCGUGCCGUGACACCAGCAGCGAUAACGGUCGCAACAAACAAACC